RNAcentral lists this unclassified non-coding RNA (193 nucleotides) under Gongronella lacrispora. RNAcentral's name for it is "partial internal transcribed spacer 2". The record is from RNAcentral. Lineage: Eukaryota; Fungi; Mucoromycota; Mucoromycetes; Mucorales; Cunninghamellaceae.
CCCAAAAACUUUUUUUUUUUUGGUGAUGUAACGUUGGGCUUGCCAAUCUUUUUUUUUAGAUUGGUCUUGCUUGGAAUGAUGUCAAUUCCAGUCGGAUCACCUUAUUCUUCAGAUCAGGCUUUGGUAGAUUACCGAAAGUCGCGUUUGAAUGAAUUUUGGCCCGAAUUGAUGGGAUUUUUAAACAUUUUUCAAU